This 536-nucleotide long non-coding RNA is filed under the name Fukomys damarensis (Damara mole-rat). RNAcentral's name for it is "lncRNA (ENSFDAG00000032447.1)". Lineage: Eukaryota; Metazoa; Chordata; Mammalia; Rodentia; Bathyergidae. The record is from RNAcentral.
GCCAGGGAAGAUGAGAGGAUAGAUUUCAUUCAUUGUGUAGUAUGUCAGGCUGAUUCUAGAGCUGGUCUUAUCAUGAGGGGUUCACUUUCCUUGACCCUAAUCAGGAUAUGGCUGCCAGGGGCCAUCCUUGAUCAGACAGAAUUCUGCAGCCAAGGCCAUGAUUCUGAGCCAGCACUGGUUUCUGGCUGGGACACCCAUUCUUCUGCCUAUGUUGUUUCCUCUCCACAGAGCUCUAAGUGUCGCACAACUCUGCGGUAGAACAAGGUCUUGCCUCCUUGUCCUGGGAAGCUCCUCCAGUCUCCCUGGAAUUCUGGUGCUCCAACUGCUGGAUGAGGUGGGGCUGGAGGUCCAUCCAGCUCUCCAGGCUGAGCUCCUGCAUCUCUUUCCUAUGGGGUGGGCAUUGCAAAGACCUCUUCACGUUUGUCUUUCCUGUGGAUGUUUCCACAAAAUUUACCUCCACUUUCUGCAAGACACAGCUACUGCCAUCAUCCAACCUGUGUGCCAUGACCAUCUUGCCACCCAGCCGAACUCCACCA